RNAcentral lists this unclassified non-coding RNA (241 nucleotides) under plant metagenome. RNAcentral describes it as "partial contains small subunit ribosomal RNA, internal transcribed spacer 1, and 5.8S ribosomal RNA". The stretch from base 1 to 53 matches the Rfam family "Eukaryotic small subunit ribosomal RNA", at positions 1778 to 1831 of the family's 1831-position model. The record is from RNAcentral.
GGAAGUAAAAGUCGUACAAGGUUUCCGUAGGUGAACCUGCGGAAGGAUCAUUACAGAGUUCAUGCCCUCACGGGUAGAUCUCCCACCCUUGAAUAUUUAUACCUUAGUUGCUUUGGCAGGCCGUGGAAACACCAUGGGCUCCGGCUUAUGCGUGCCUGCCAGAGGAAACAAACUCAGUUUUUAGUGAUGUCUGAGUACUAUAUAAUAGUUAAAACUUUCAACAACGGAUCUCUUGGUUCUG